RNAcentral lists this transfer RNA (63 nucleotides) under Longitarsus aeneus. Its description in RNAcentral is "tRNA-Phe". The record is from RNAcentral. Lineage: Eukaryota; Metazoa; Arthropoda; Insecta; Coleoptera; Chrysomelidae.
ACUUAAAUAGCUUAUUUAGAGCAUAAUAUUGAAGAUAUUAAGGAAAUUUAUAAUUUUUAAGUA